Molecule: ribosomal RNA, 390 nt
Filed under: Triticum aestivum (bread wheat)
Lineage: Eukaryota; Viridiplantae; Streptophyta; Magnoliopsida; Poales; Poaceae
Description: partial small subunit ribosomal RNA
Source: RNAcentral
AUGAAGGGGCGGUUGGGAGCUCUGAGAGGUUCUACAGCUGCUUGUGCAGAUAGUCCUACUACACCCAAGAAUCCCAUUGUGGAAUUGAUAGACAGCGAUGAUGAUGUGUUUGACAAGAUUGCUGGCGUUGGAAGAGUCACGAGGAGCGCUGCUGCCAAAGGUUUAUCUCCCCAUGCUGGAAUAAUGGCUCGUAGAGCUGGUGGUGCUAGGAAAGAUCCCGCUUUGGAUUCUGGCAAUGUUGUAAGCAUGAAGCGUGCGCCCAGAGCUCCUAUAAAGUUUUUCUCCCCUGUGCAGCAGCUUCACCCUUAUAAAUUCCCUCACCUGGACAAGGCUCGUAGGUUGUAUAAUCUGUUGCUUAGUGAUGAAUGGCGUGAGAAGUAUGCCGAGUGA